UACGGGGGGGGCAAGCGUUGUUCGGAAUUACUGGGCGUAAAGGGCUCGUAGGUGGCCAACUAAGUCAGACGUGAAAUCCCCAGGCUCAACUUGGGAACUGCGUCUGAUACUGGAUGGCUUGAAUUCGGGAGAGGGAUGCAGAAUUCCAGGUGUAGCGGUGAAGUGCGUAGAUAUCUGGAGGAAUACCGGUGGCGAAGGCGGCAUCCUGGACCGAGAUUGACACUGAUGAGCGAAAGCUAGGGGAGCAAACGGG
This 253-nucleotide ribosomal RNA is filed under the name uncultured bacterium. Its description in RNAcentral is "partial 16S ribosomal RNA". It matches the Rfam family "Bacterial small subunit ribosomal RNA", at positions 524 to 776 of the family's 1533-position model. The record is from RNAcentral.